Molecule: non-coding RNA, 488 nt
Filed under: Pongo abelii (Sumatran orangutan)
Lineage: Eukaryota; Metazoa; Chordata; Mammalia; Primates; Hominidae
Source: RNAcentral
CAAAGAGUCGGUUUGAGUUUUAUGACUGACAUCUUCUGGCUACAGUGGAUAUUACAGAAAGACUGAAACUCCACAAAGGUGUGUUUGAAAAAAAGAAAAGCACCCUGGAGUUUGGAUCAUUAAGUAUCUGCCAUUUAGAAUGUGCCCAGAACUGCCAAAUCAAUAAUAGAAUAAAGCAAGGGGAAUCCUUGAGUCUUCAUGGAGUAAGAACGACACCUUCUUAAGGGGAUCAAGGGGCAAGGUGACUUGAAGACAAUAUUAUCAUGAUAAAUAAGGAAACAAGGGAAAAUGUGGAAGGUUUUCAUCUCAAUGGACAUGAAAAAGUGUGCAUUAUUAGAGUUGAGUGCAUUUAAUAAGCCAGGAUUAUCACCUAGAGUUGCAGAGCAAGACAAAGCAAGUAGAGUCGGUAUCUGGAGACCUUUUUGCAAAGAAGAGACAAGCUCUCUCUAGGCUAUAUCACUAGUCUCAACUUCCUGGGCUCCAGCAAU